GUUCGUAUAGCUUAUUUUAAAGUUUCGUAUUCUUGCUUCGAUGAUGGAUUAAUUCCUACGGGCA
Molecule: transfer RNA, 64 nt
Filed under: Prosthogonimus cuneatus
Lineage: Eukaryota; Metazoa; Platyhelminthes; Trematoda; Plagiorchiida; Prosthogonimidae
Description: tRNA-Lys
Source: RNAcentral